GCCUGGCUGGCUCAGUUGGUAGAGCAUGUGACUCUUGAUCUUGGGGUCAUGAGUUCAAGCCCCAUGUUGGGCA
Molecule: transfer RNA, 73 nt
Filed under: Ailuropoda melanoleuca (giant panda)
Lineage: Eukaryota; Metazoa; Chordata; Mammalia; Carnivora; Ursidae
Rfam family: tRNA
About the family: Transfer RNA (tRNA) molecules are approximately 80 nucleotides in length. Their secondary structure includes four short double-helical elements and three loops (D, anti-codon, and T loops).
Source: Rfam by way of RNAcentral